UGGGGAAUUUUGGACAAUGGGCGCAAGCCUGAUCCAGCCAUGCCGCGUGCGGGAAGAAGGCCUUCGGGUUGUAAACCGCUUUUGUCAGGGGAGAAAUCUUCUGAGUUAAUACCUCGGGAGGAUGACGGUACCUGAAGAAUAAGCACCGGCUAACUACGUGCCAGCAGCCGCGGUAAUACGUAGGGUGCAAGCGUUAAUCGGAAUUACUGGGCGUAAAGCGUGCGCAGGCGGUUUUGUAAGACAGAGGUGAAAUCCCCGGGCUCAACCUGGGAACUGCCUUUGUGACUGCAAGGCUUGAGUGCGGCAGAGGGGGAUGGAAUUCCGCGUGUAGCAGUGAAAUGCGUAGAUAUGCGGAGGAACACCGAUGGCGAAGGCAAUCCCCUGGGCCUGCACUGACGCUCAUGCACGAAAGCGUGGGGAGCAAACAGGAUUAGAUACCCUGGUAGUCCACGCCCUAAACGAUGUCAACUGGUUGUUGGGAAGGUUCCUUCUCAGUAACGUAGCUAACGCGUGAAGUUGACCGCCUGGGGAGUACGGCCGC
RNAcentral lists this ribosomal RNA (541 nucleotides) under uncultured bacterium. Its description in RNAcentral is "partial 16S ribosomal RNA". It matches the Rfam family "Bacterial small subunit ribosomal RNA", at positions 355 to 889 of the family's 1533-position model. The record is from RNAcentral.